RNAcentral lists this ribosomal RNA (848 nucleotides) under uncultured marine archaeon AEGEAN_53. RNAcentral describes it as "bacterial SSU rRNA". It matches the Rfam family "Archaeal small subunit ribosomal RNA", at positions 30 to 885 of the family's 1478-position model. The record is from RNAcentral. Lineage: Archaea; Methanobacteriati; Methanobacteriota.
CUAUUGGAGUUCGAUUAAGCCAUGCGAGUCUAGAGGCCUAGCCUCGGCGUACCGCUCAGUAACACGUGGGUAACCUACCCUAUGCUGGGGAAUAAGCUCGGGAAACUGAGAAUAAUACCCCAUAGUCCACUACGCCUGGAACGGUGAGUGGAUCAAAGCUCCGGCGGCAUAGGAUGGGCCUGCGGCGUAUCAGGUUGUAGGGGGUGUAAUGUACCCUCUAGCCAUCCACGCGUACGGGUGUUGGGAGACAUUGCCCGGAGAUGGAUUCUGAGACACGAAUCCAGACCCUACGGGGUGCAGCAGGCGCGAAAACUUGGCAAUGCGAGAAAUCGUGACCAGGGAACUCCAAGUGGCAGGGGUAAGACCCUGUCUUUUUCCGACUCUAAAUAGGUCGGCGAAUAAGGGGUGGGUAAGGACGGUGCCAGCCGCCGCGGUAAUACCGGCGCCUCAAGUGGUAGUCGCUUUUAUUGGGCCUAAAACGUCCGUAGCCGGUCUGGUACAUUCGUGGGUAAAUCAACUCGCUCAACGAGUUGAAUUCUGCGAGGACGGCCAGACUUGGGACCGGGAGAGGUGUGGGGUACUCUCAGGGUAGGGGUAAAAUCCCGUCAUCCUGAGAGGACCACCUGUUGCGAAGGCUCCACACUAGAACGGAUCCGACGGUCAGGGACGAAGCCUAGGGGCACGAACCGGAUUAGAUACCCGGGUAGUCCUAGGUGUAAACGCUGUGGACUUGAUGUUGGGGACGCUCCGAGCGUUCUCAGUGUCGAAGCGAAGGUGAUAAGUCCACUGCCUGGGGAGUACGGUCGCAAGGCUGAAACUUAAAGGAAUUGGCGGGGGAGCACCGCAAC